Molecule: ribosomal RNA, 497 nt
Filed under: uncultured bacterium
Lineage: Bacteria
Description: partial 16S ribosomal RNA
Rfam family: Bacterial small subunit ribosomal RNA
Source: RNAcentral
GAUGAACGCUGGCGGCGUGCCUAAUACAUGCAAGUCGAGCGAACAGACGAGGAGCUUGCUCCUCUGACGUUAGCGGCGGACGGGUGAGUAACACGUGCAUCACCUACCUAUAAGACUGGGAUAACUUCGGGAAACCGGAGCUAAUACCGGAUAAUAUAUUGAACCGCAUGGUUCAUUAGUUAAAGACGGUUUUGCUGUCACUUAUAUAUGGAUCCGCGCCGCAUUAGCUAGUUGGUAAGGUAACGGCUUACCAAGGCAACGAUGCGUAGCCGACCUGAGAGGGUGAUCGGCCACACUGGAACUGAGACACGGUCCAGACUCCUACGGGAGGCAGCAGUAGGGAAUCUUCCGCAAUGGGCGAAAGCCUGACGGAGCAACGCCGCGUGAGUGAUGAAGGUCUUCGGAUCGUAAAACUCUGUUAUUAGGGAAGAACAAAUGUGUAAGUAACUAUGCACGUCUUGACGGUACCUAAUCAGAAAGCAACGGCUAACUACGUG